CUAAUUUUAGUUGGUAUUUCAAGGGAAGAUGGGCGAUUCCGAACAAUCCUCUGUCCCCAGCAAUGAAGGCAGCGAUGCUGAGGCCAGUGAGGACGACCAACAGCCCACCGCCGCGUAUGGUUGGGGCAGGGAGCCCAGAUACUCUGCUGAGGAGCUGCCAUCGCGUGUAACAAAUGUGGAGGAAGAAGAUGCGUCAGCAGCUGCGUCCGACAGAAGACGAGUAGCUUGGCCACCAGAAUCUCGAUUCGUUUGGGACUCCGACUGGUGCGAGCGUGGACAAAAGUGUAUAGCCAUGCCCAGCCCGCGGGAAUGAUUUUGCUGGUAGGAUGCUGCCGUCGCUGUCGACAAGACGGCCCAAGGUUUCUUGCGUAGCGGACCUCGCAGAUUACGAGAUCGUAUCCUUGCAUUAGGCUGUGCUCAUCACUGCUCUUCGAGGUUAUCUCGACAUGCAGAAGCCGCCAAUGCCAGUGACAGAAGAGUCUGACAUUAGAUCUCUACGCUAUGCGGCACACAGGCAGUACACACUAUGUACACGGCAAAUUGGGCAAGCACGUUCGUUGUCGUCUUCCAGCCUGCGUUGUGAAUACCAUCAGGCAAAGAUAUCCAAAUCCUGCACCACCUCAGCCUUCUCAGGAGGCUUCCACCUGGAAUUUGGCAGGGAAACACGCUUCUCCAAGGCAGGAACAUGGAGGUUGCCAUUUGCAACCGCUACCACCUCACAUAUGAGCUUGUCAACAUACUCAUAGCUCUUUCUGUCGUAUAAUUUUCUAUUUGGCCACAGUCUUCUUUAUGCUUUGAGAACUGGACUUUAUACCUUCC
Molecule: long non-coding RNA, 819 nt
Organism: Sycon ciliatum
Lineage: Eukaryota; Metazoa; Porifera; Calcarea; Leucosolenida; Sycettidae
Exons: 2
Source: RefSeq, a predicted model, not a curated record